This 464-nucleotide ribosomal RNA is filed under the name Vreelandella stevensii. RNAcentral describes it as "partial 16S ribosomal RNA". It matches the Rfam family "Bacterial small subunit ribosomal RNA", at positions 338 to 795 of the family's 1533-position model. Lineage: Bacteria; Pseudomonadati; Pseudomonadota; Gammaproteobacteria; Oceanospirillales; Halomonadaceae. The record is from RNAcentral.
CCUACGGGUGGCAGCAGUGGGGAAUAUUGGACAAUGGGCGAAAGCCUGAUCCAGCCAUGCCGCGUGUGUGAAGAAGGCCUUCGGGUUGUAAAGCACUUUCAGUGGGGAAGAAAGCCUUGGGGCUAAUACCCUCGAGGAAGGACAUCACCCACAGAAGAAGCACCGGCUAACUCCGUGCCAGCAGCCGCGGUAAACGGAGGGUGCGAGCGUUAAUCGGAAUUACUGGGCGUAAAGCGCGCGUAGGCGGUCUGAUAAGCCGGUUGUGAAAGCCCCGGGCUCAACCUGGGAACGGCAUCCGGAACUGUCAGGCUAGAGUGCAGGAGAGGAAGGUAGAAUUCCCGGUGUAGCGGUGAAAUGCGUAGAGAUCGGGAGGAAUACCAGUGGCGAAGGCGGCCUUCUGGACUGACACUGACGCUGAGGUGCGAAAGCGUGGGUAGCAAACAGGAUUAGAUACCCCGGUAGUC